This 460-nucleotide ribosomal RNA is filed under the name uncultured bacterium. Its description in RNAcentral is "partial 16S ribosomal RNA". It matches the Rfam family "Bacterial small subunit ribosomal RNA", at positions 338 to 795 of the family's 1533-position model. The record is from RNAcentral.
CCUACGGGGCGCAGCAGUGAGGAAUAUUGGUCAAUGGGCGCGAGCCUGAACCAGCCAAGUAGCGUGAAGGAUGACUGCCCUACGGGUUGUAAACUUCUUUUAUAAAGGAAUAAAGUGAGUCACGUGUGCCUUUUUGUAUGUACUUUAUGAAUAAGGAUCGGCUAACUCCGUGCCAGCAGCCGCGGUAAUACGGAGGAUCCGAGCGUUAUCCGGAUUUAUUGGGUUUAAAGGGAGCGUAGAUGGGUUGUUAAGUCAGUUGUGAAAGUUUGCGGCUCAACCGUUAAAUUGCAAUUGAUACUGGCUGUCUUGAGUACAGGUGAGGUAGGCGGAAUUCGUGGUGUAGCGGUGAAAUGCUUAGAUAUCACGAAGAACUCCGAUUGCGAAGGCAGCUUACUAAACUGCCACUGACAUUGAUGCUCGAAAGUGUGGGUAUCAAACAGGAUUAGAUACCCCAGUAGUC